This 1176-nucleotide ribosomal RNA is filed under the name Serratia marcescens. RNAcentral describes it as "partial 23S ribosomal RNA". It matches the Rfam family "Bacterial large subunit ribosomal RNA", at positions 1757 to 2925 of the family's 2925-position model. The record is from RNAcentral. Lineage: Bacteria; Pseudomonadati; Pseudomonadota; Gammaproteobacteria; Enterobacterales; Yersiniaceae.
GCGGAUGGAGCUGAAGCCAGUCGAAGAUACCAGCUGGCUGCAACUGUUUAAUAAAAACACAGCACUGUGCAAACACGAAAGUGGACGUAUACGGUGUGACGCCUGCCCGGUGCUGGAAGGUUAAUUGAUGGGGUCAGCCGCAAGGCGAAGCUCUUGAUCGAAGCCCCAGUAAACGGCGGCCGUAACUAUAACGGUCCUAAGGUAGCGAAAUUCCUUGUCGGGUAAGUUCCGACCUGCACGAAUGGCGUAAUGAUGGCCAGGCUGUCUCCACCCGAGACUCAGUGAAAUUGAACUCGCUGUGAAGAUGCAGUGUACCCGCGGCAAGACGGAAAGACCCCGUGAACCUUUACUAUAGCUUGACACUGAACAUUGAGCCUUGAUGUGUAGGAUAGGUGGGAGGCUUUGAAGCGUGGACGCCAGUCUGCGUGGAGCCAUCCUUGAAAUACCACCCUUUAAUGUUUGAUGUUCUAACUCGGCCCCAUAAUCUGGGGUGAGGACAGUGUCUGGUGGGUAGUUUGACUGGGGCGGUCUCCUCCCAAAGAGUAACGGAGGAGCACGAAGGUUAGCUAAUCACGGUCGGACAUCGUGAGGUUAGUGCAAAGGCAUAAGCUAGCUUGACUGCGAGAGUGACGGCUCGAGCAGGUACGAAAGUAGGUCUUAGUGAUCCGGUGGUUCUGAAUGGAAGGGCCAUCGCUCAACGGAUAAAAGGUACUCCGGGGAUAACAGGCUGAUACCGCCCAAGAGUUCAUAUCGACGGCGGUGUUUGGCACCUCGAUGUCGGCUCAUCACAUCCUGGGGCUGAAGUAGGUCCCAAGGGUAUGGCUGUUCGCCAUUUAAAGUGGUACGCGAGCUGGGUUUAGAACGUCGUGAGACAGUUCGGUCCCUAUCUGCCGUGGGCGUUGGAAGAUUGAGAGGGGUUGCUCCUAGUACGAGAGGACCGGAGUGAACGCACCACUGGUGUUCGGGUUGUCAUGCCAAUGGCAUUGCCCGGUAGCUAAGUGCGGAAAAGAUAAGCGCUGAAAGCAUCUAAGCGCGAAACUUGCCUCAAGAUGAGUCUUCCCUGGACCUUUAAGGUCCCUGAAGGAACGUUUAAGACUAAGACGUUGAUAGGCUGGGUGUGUAAGUGCAGCGAUGCAUUGAGCUAACCAGUACUAAUGAUCCGUGAGGCUUAACCUU